AUUGAACGCUGGCGGCAUGCCUUACACAUGCAAGUCGAACGGUAACAGGUCUUCGGAUGCUGACGAGUGGCGAACGGGUGAGUAAUACAUCGGAACGUGCCUAGUAGUGGGGGAUAACUACUCGAAAGAGUGGCUAAUACCGCAUGAGAUCUACGGAUGAAAGCAGGGGAUCGCAAGACCUUGUGCUACUAGAGCGGCCGAUGGCAGAUUAGGUAGUUGGUGGGAUAAAAGCUUACCAAGCCGACGAUCUGUAGCUAGUCUGAGAGGACGAUCAGCCACACUGGGACUGAGAAACGGCCCAGACUCCUACGGGAGGCAGCAGUGGGGAAUUUUGGACAAUGGGCGCAAGCCUGAUCCAGCAAUGCCGCGUGCAGGAUGAAGGCCUUCGGGUUGUAAACUGCUUUUGUACGGAACGAAAAGCCCCGGGUUAAUACCCUGGGGUCAUGACGGAACCGUAAGAAUAAGCACCGGCUAACUACGUGCCAGCCGCCGCCGUAA
Molecule: ribosomal RNA, 498 nt
Filed under: uncultured bacterium
Lineage: Bacteria
Description: partial 16S ribosomal RNA
Rfam family: Bacterial small subunit ribosomal RNA
Source: RNAcentral